This 31-nucleotide non-coding RNA is filed under the name Macaca fascicularis (crab-eating macaque). The record is from RNAcentral. Lineage: Eukaryota; Metazoa; Chordata; Mammalia; Primates; Cercopithecidae. RNAcentral also lists the same sequence under 4 other names.
AGCAGAGUUGCGCAGCGGGAGCGUGCUGGGC